GAUGAACGCUGGCGGCGUGCUUAACACAUGCAAGUCGAACGAAGAUGCCGGAGUGCUUGCACUUUGGCAGACUGAGUGGCGGACGGGUGAGUAACGCGUGGGUAACCUGCCUUAUACAGGGGGAUAACAGUUGGAAACGACUGCUAAUACCGCAUAAGCGCACGGUAUCGCAUGAUACAGUGUGAAAAACUCCGGUGGUAUAAGAUGGACCCGCGUCUGAUUAGCUUGUUGGUGAGGUAACGGCCCACCAAGGCGACGAUCAGUAGCCGGCCUGAGAGGGUGAACGGCCACAUUGGGACUGAGACACGGCCCAAACUCCUACGGGAGGCAGCAGUGGGGAAUAUUGCACAAUGGGCGCAAGCCUGAUGCAGCGACGCCGCGUGAAGGAUGAAGUAUUUCGGUAUGUAAACUUCUAUCAGCAGGGAAGAAAUGACGGUACCUGACUAAGAAGCCCCGGCUAACUACGUG
RNAcentral lists this ribosomal RNA (468 nucleotides) under uncultured bacterium. RNAcentral describes it as "bacterial SSU rRNA". It matches the Rfam family "Bacterial small subunit ribosomal RNA", at positions 28 to 507 of the family's 1533-position model. The record is from RNAcentral.